Molecule: ribosomal RNA, 629 nt
Filed under: uncultured archaeon
Lineage: Archaea
Description: bacterial SSU rRNA
Rfam family: Archaeal small subunit ribosomal RNA
Source: RNAcentral
UAAUAUCGGAUAACGCAUAUGUGCUGGAAUGCUUUAUGCGUAAAACGGAUUCGUCCGCCCAAGGAUGGGUCUGCGGCCUAUCAGGUAGUAGUGGGUGUAAUGUACCUACUAGCCAACAACGGGUACGGGUUGUGAGAGCAAGAGCCCGGAGAUGGAUUCUGAGACAUGAAUCCAGGCCCUACGGGGCGCAGCAGGCGCGAAAACUUUACAAUGCGGGAAACCGUGAUAAGGGAACACCGAGUGCCAGCAUCAUAUGCUGGCUGUCCAGAUGUGUAAACUACAUCUGUUAGCAAGGGCCGGGCAAGACCGGUGCCAGCCGCCGCGGUAACACCGGCGGCCCGAGUGGUGACCGUUAUUAUUGGGUCUAAAGGGUCCGUAGCCGGUUUGGUCAGUCCUCCGGGAAAUCUGAUAGCUUAACUGUUAGGCUUUCGGGGGAUACUGCCAGGCUUGGAACCGGGAGAGGUAAGAGGUACUACAGGGGUAGGAGUGAAAUCUUGUAAUCCCUGUGAGACCACCUGUGGCGAAGGCGUCUUACCAGAACGGGUUCGACGGUGAGGGACGAAAGCUGGGGGCACGAACCGGAUUAGAUACCCGGGUAGUCCCAGCCGUAAACUAUGCGCGUUAGGUGU